Molecule: ribosomal RNA, 397 nt
Filed under: uncultured bacterium
Lineage: Bacteria
Description: partial 16S ribosomal RNA
Rfam family: Bacterial small subunit ribosomal RNA
Source: RNAcentral
GAAUAUUGGACAAUGGGCGCAAGCCUGAUCCAGCAAUGCCGCGUGCGUGAAGAAGGCCUUAGGGUUGUAAAGCGCUUUCACCCGUGAAGAUGAUGACGGUAGCGGGAGAAGAAGCCCCGGCUAACUCCGUGCCAGCAGCCGCGGUAAUACGGAGGGGGCUAGCGUUGUUCGGAAUUACUGGGCGUAAAGGGCGCGUAGGCGGCUCGUCGAGCCGGAUGUGAAAGCCCCGGGCUCAACCCGGGAUGUGCAUUCGAUACUGGCGGGCUCGAGUCCGGGAGAGGAUGGCGGAAUUCCCAGUGUAGAGGUGAAAUUCGUAGAUAUUGGGAAGAACACCGGUGGCGAAGGCGGCCAUCUGGACCGGCACUGACGCUGAGGCGCGAAAGCGUGGGGAGCAAAC